AGUAAUGCCUAGGAAUCUGCCUGGUAGGUGGGGGACGAACGUUUCGAAAGGAACGCUAAUACCGCAUACGUCCUACGGGAGAAAGCAGGGGACCGUUCGGGCCUUGCGCUAUCAGAUGAGCCUAGGUCGGAUUAGCUAGUUGGUGAGGUAAUGGCUCACCAAGGCGACGAUCCGUAACUGGUCUGAGAGGAUGAUCAGUCACACUGGAAUUGAGACACGGUCCAGACUCCUACGGGAGGCAGCAGCG
Molecule: ribosomal RNA, 247 nt
Filed under: uncultured Pseudomonas sp.
Lineage: Bacteria; Pseudomonadati; Pseudomonadota; Gammaproteobacteria; Pseudomonadales; Pseudomonadaceae
Description: partial 16S ribosomal RNA
Rfam family: Bacterial small subunit ribosomal RNA
Source: RNAcentral